Molecule: unclassified non-coding RNA, 244 nt
Filed under: uncultured fungus
Lineage: Eukaryota; Fungi
Description: sequence contains ITS1
Source: RNAcentral
AUAUUGUAUUAAUGGCCAUUACGGCACAAAUCACGUUCAACAUUGCUGACAGUGUAUAGUAAAAUUUAAGGGAAUGAAGGAUAAUCACCCAAAAGUGGCAAUCAACUCAAAAUUCCCUCAAAAGUGUGCACAGGUGUUUGGAAGAUGAUUGUUAGGGCGAGCACAUGCAUCCAAAAAUUGGCUGCCAGCAUCAAAACCCCGUUACAACUCAUUAAUGAUCCUUCCGCAGGUUCACCUACGGAAA